RNAcentral lists this ribosomal RNA (675 nucleotides) under bacterium enrichment culture. RNAcentral's name for it is "bacterial SSU rRNA". It matches the Rfam family "Bacterial small subunit ribosomal RNA", at positions 64 to 731 of the family's 1533-position model. The record is from RNAcentral.
GAACGGCAGCACAGGUAGCAAUACCGGGUGGCGAGUGGCGGACGGGUGAGUAAUGAAACGGGAUCUACCCUGACGUGGGGGAUAACCUCGGGAAACCGGGACUAAUACCGCAUACGUCCUACGGGAGAAAGCGGGGGACCUUCGGGCCUCGCGCGGCAGGACGAACCGAUGUGCGAUUAGCUAGUUGGCGGGGUAAUGGCCCACCAAGGCGACGAUCGCUAGCUGGUCUGAGAGGAUGAUCAGCCACACUGGGACUGAGACACGGCCCAGACUCCUACGGGAGGCAGCAGUGGGGAUUUUUGGACAAUGGGCGCAAGCCUGAUCCAGCAAUGCCGCUUGUGUGAAGAAGGCCUUCCCCCCCGUCAAGCACUUUUAUCAGGAGCGAAAUACUACCGACUAAUAUUCGGUGGGGCUGACGGUACCUGAGGAAUAAGCACCGGCUAACUUCGUGCCAGCAGCCGCGGUAAUACGAAGGGUGCAAGCGUUAAUCGGAAUUACUGGGCGUAAAGGGUGCGUAGGCGGUUAUUUAAGUCUGCCGUGAAAUCCCCGGGCUCAACCUGGGAAUGGCGGUGGAUACUGGAUAGCUAGAGUGUGUCAGAGGAUGGUGGAAUUCCCGGUGUAGCGGUGAAAUGCGUAGAGAUCGGGAGGAACAUCAGUGGCGAAGGCGGCCAUCUG